This 404-nucleotide ribosomal RNA is filed under the name uncultured bacterium. RNAcentral's name for it is "bacterial SSU rRNA". It matches the Rfam family "Bacterial small subunit ribosomal RNA", at positions 917 to 1322 of the family's 1533-position model. The record is from RNAcentral.
GGACCCGCACAAGUAGUGGAGUAUGUGGUUUAAUUCGAUGCAACGCGAAGAACCUUACCAGGGUUUGACAUCCUGCGAAUCUCUUGGAAACAGGAGAGUGCCUUCGGGAACGCAGUGACAGGUGGUGCAUGGCUGUCGUCAGCUCGUGUCGUGAGAUGUUGGGUUAAGUCCCGCAACGAGCGCAACCCACGUCUUUAGUUGCCAGCAUUUAGUUGGGCACUCUAGAGAGACUGCCGGUGAUAAACCGGAGGAAGGUGUGGAUGACGUCAAGUCAUCAUGCCCCUUACAUCCUGGGCUACACACGUACUACAAUGCUACGGACAAAGGGCAGCAAGUUCGCGAGGACAAGCAAAUCCCAUAAACCGUGGCUCAGUUCAGAUCGUAGGCUGCAACUCGCCUACGUG